Molecule: ribosomal RNA, 764 nt
Filed under: uncultured Streptococcus sp.
Lineage: Bacteria; Bacillati; Bacillota; Bacilli; Lactobacillales; Streptococcaceae
Description: bacterial SSU rRNA
Rfam family: Bacterial small subunit ribosomal RNA
Source: RNAcentral
GACGAANGCUGGCGGCGUGCCUAAUACAUGCAAGUAGAACGCUGAAGGAGGAGCUUGCUUCUCUGGAUGAGUUGCGAACGGGUGAGUAACGCGUAGGUAACCUGCCUGGUAGCGGGGGGAUAACUAUUGGAAACGAUAGCUAAUACCGCAUAAGAGUAGAUGUCGCAUGACAUUUGCUUAAAAGGUGCAAUUGCAUCACUACCAGAUGGACCUGCGUUGUAUUAGCUAGUUGGUGAGGUAACGGCUCACCAAGGCAACGAUACAUAGCCGACCUGAGAGGGUGAUCGGCCACACUGGGACUGAGACACGGCCCAGACUCCUACGGGAGGCAGCAGUAGGGAAUCUUCGGCAAUGGACGGAAGUCUGACCGAGCAACGCCGCGUGAGUGAAGAAGGUUUUCGGAUCGUAAAGCUCUGUUGUAAGAGAAGAACGAGUGUGAGAGUGGAAAGUUCACACUGUGACGGUAUCUUACCAGAAAGGGACGGCUAACUACGUGCCAGCAGCCGCGGUAAUACGUAGGUCCCGAGCGUUGUCCGGAUUUAUUGGGCGUAAAGCGAGCGCAGGCGGUUAGAUAAGUCUGAAGUUAAAGGCUGUGGCUUAACCAUAGUACGCUUUGGAAACUGUUUAACUUGAGUGCAAGAGGGGAGAGUGGAAUUCCAUGUGUAGCGGUGAAAUGCGUAGAUAUAUGGAGGAACACCGGUGGCGAAAGCGGCUCUCUGGCUUGUAACUGACGCUGAGGCUCGAAAGCGUGGGGAGCAAACAGG